GUGCUCGGUUUGGCAGCACAUAUACUAAAAUUGGAAGGAUACAGAGAAGAUUAGCCUGACCCCUGCUCAAGGAUGACACACAAAUUCAUGAAGCAUUCCAUAUCUUU
This 107-nucleotide small nuclear RNA is filed under the name Sorex araneus (European shrew). Lineage: Eukaryota; Metazoa; Chordata; Mammalia; Eulipotyphla; Soricidae. The record is from RNAcentral.